This is an unclassified non-coding RNA of Pongo abelii (Sumatran orangutan), 147 nucleotides long. It matches the Rfam family "Metazoan signal recognition particle RNA". Rfam says of the family: The signal recognition particle (SRP) is a universally conserved ribonucleoprotein. NCBI's taxonomy places the organism in Eukaryota, Metazoa, Chordata, Mammalia, Primates, Hominidae. The record is from Ensembl.
GCUGGGUGCAGUGGUGUGUACCUGUAGUCCCAGCUACUUGGGAGGCUGAGGCAGGAUGAUUGCUUGAGCCCAGGAGCUGAAGGCUGCAGUGAGCUAUGAUCAGCCACUGCACUCCAGCCUGGGUGACAGAGCAAGACCCUGCCUCUA